RNAcentral lists this long non-coding RNA (314 nucleotides) under Capsicum annuum. RNAcentral describes it as "long non-coding RNA (CANN_LNC009942)". The record is from RNAcentral. Lineage: Eukaryota; Viridiplantae; Streptophyta; Magnoliopsida; Solanales; Solanaceae.
CCGGCCAAUUCCUACUACCAACCAACUCAUCUAUCACAACUAGCACCACCACUAACUACCACUAAUACAUCAUAACCUCUACACAUUCUUUGGCUGUCACCACCAUCGUCACUAAUAAUGCCACAUCUACCACCACUUCAACGAGUACUAUCGCUACAGUUUAUCUCUACUAACAGUCAUCUCCACCAUCACAACAAAUAACAUAUCCAACUAGCAUCAACACAUUGUCAAUCAUUAUGCAUUUAUGUUUCAGCCAACAUAAUAACACCUUAAACUACUAACAUCAAACAACGUCACAUCACAACAACCACCAC